This 253-nucleotide ribosomal RNA is filed under the name uncultured Rickettsia sp. Its description in RNAcentral is "partial 16S ribosomal RNA". It matches the Rfam family "Bacterial small subunit ribosomal RNA", at positions 400 to 670 of the family's 1533-position model. The record is from RNAcentral. Lineage: Bacteria; Pseudomonadati; Pseudomonadota; Alphaproteobacteria; Rickettsiales; Rickettsiaceae.
AGUGAGUGAUGAAGGCCCUAGGGUUGUAAAGCUCUUUUAGCAAGGAAGAUAAUGACGUUACUUGCAGAAAAAGCCCCGGCUAACUCCGUGCCAGCAGCCGCGGUAAGACGGAGGGGGCUAGCGUUGUUCGGAAUUACUGGGCGUAAAGAGUGCGUAGGCGGUUUAGUAAGUUGGAAGUGAAAGCCCGGGGCUUAACCUCGGAAUUGCUUUCAAAACUACUAAUCUAGAGUGUAGUAGAGGAUGAUGGAAUUCC